GGCUUAUACAUGCAAGUCGUGGGGCAGCACAGGGUAGCAAUACUUGGGUGGCGACCGGCAAACGGGUGCGGAACACGUACGCAACCUUCCUUCAGGCGGGGAAUAGCCCAGAGAAAUUUGGAUUAAUACCCCAUAAGAUUUUGAGAUGGCAUCAUCUUAUUAUUAAAGAUUUAUCACCUGAAGAUGGGCGUGCGGCUGAUUAGGUAGUUGGCGGGGUAACGGCCCACCAAGCCUACGAUCAGUAGCUGAUGUGAGAGCAUGAUCAGCCACACGGGCACUGAGACACGGGCCCGACUCCUACGGGAGGCAGCAGUAAGGAAUAUUGGUCAAUGGACGCAAGUCUGAACCAGCCAUGCCGCGUGGAGGAUGAAGGUCCUCUGGAUUGUAAACUUCUUUUAUCUGGGACGAAAAAAGGGUUUUCUAACUCGUCUGACGGUACCAGAUGAAUAAGCACCGGCUAACUCCGUGCCAGCAGCCGCGGUAAUACGGAGGGUGCAAGCGUUAUCCGGAUUCACUGGGUUUAAAGGGUGCGUAGGCGGGCAAUUAAGUCCGUGGUGAAAUACCUGAGCUUAACUUGGGAACUGCCAUGGAUACUAUUUGUCUUGAAUGUCGUGGAGGUUAGCGGAAUAUGUCAUGUAGCGGUGAAAUGCUUAGAUAUGACAUAGAACACCUAUUGCGAAGGCAGCUAACUACGCGAAUAUUGACGCUGAGGCACGAAAGCGUGGGGAUCAAACAGGAUUAGAUACCCUGGUAGUCCACGCCCUAAACGAUGAUUACUCGACAUUGGCGAUACACAGUCAGUGUCUGAGCGAAAGCAUUAAGUAAUCCACCUGGGAAGUACGACCGCAAGGUUGAAACUC
RNAcentral lists this ribosomal RNA (860 nucleotides) under uncultured bacterium. RNAcentral describes it as "bacterial SSU rRNA". It matches the Rfam family "Bacterial small subunit ribosomal RNA", at positions 45 to 902 of the family's 1533-position model. The record is from RNAcentral.